UUAAUGGAGAGUUUGAUCCUGGCUCAGGACGAACGCUGGCGGCGUGCCUAAUACAUGCAAGUCGAGCGGGGUUAGUUAGAAGCUUGCUUCUAAAUAACCUAGCGGCGGACGGGUGAGUAACACGUAGGCAACCUGCCCACAAGACAGGGAUAACUACCGGAAACGGUAGC
Molecule: ribosomal RNA, 170 nt
Filed under: Paenibacillus sp. 1182
Lineage: Bacteria; Bacillati; Bacillota; Bacilli; Caryophanales; Paenibacillaceae
Description: partial 16S ribosomal RNA
Rfam family: Bacterial small subunit ribosomal RNA
Source: RNAcentral